GUACACUCCUGCGGGAGGCAGCAGUGGGGAAUUUUGGACAAUGGGCGAAAGCCUGAUCCAGCAAUGCCGCGUGUGUGAAGAAGGCCUUCGGGUUGUAAAGCACUUUUGUCCGGAAAGAAAUCCUUGGCUCUAAUACAGUCGAGGGAUGACGGUACCGGAAGAAUAAGCACCGGCUAACUACGUGCCAGCAGCCGCGGUAAUACGUAGGGUGCGAGCGUUAAUCGGAAUUACUGGGCGUAAAGCGUGCGCAGGCGGUUUGCUAAGACCGAUGUGAAAUCCCCGGGCUCAACCUGGGAACUGCAUUGGUGACUGGCAGGCUAGAGUAUGGCAGAGGGGGGUAGAAUUCCACGUGUAGCAGUGAAAUGCGUAGAGAUGUGGAGGAAUACCGAUGGCGAAGGCAGCCCCCUGGGCCAAUACUGACGCUCAUGCACGAAAGCGUGGGGAGCAAACAGGAUUAGAUACCCGAGUAGUCCCAUGA
RNAcentral lists this ribosomal RNA (478 nucleotides) under uncultured organism. Its description in RNAcentral is "partial 16S ribosomal RNA". It matches the Rfam family "Bacterial small subunit ribosomal RNA", at positions 331 to 800 of the family's 1533-position model. The record is from RNAcentral.